AUAUAGGGAACAAUGAAGUAUAACCUGUAUUUGGGCACUUGGGUUAUAUGGAGUUAGUAGUGCAACCGACCUCU
RNAcentral lists this non-coding RNA (74 nucleotides) under uncultured Clostridium sp. RNAcentral's name for it is "Cyclic di-GMP-II riboswitch". It matches the Rfam family "Cyclic di-GMP-II riboswitch aptamer", at positions 9 to 76 of the family's 84-position model. The record is from RNAcentral. Lineage: Bacteria; Bacillati; Bacillota; Clostridia; Eubacteriales; Clostridiaceae.